Molecule: ribosomal RNA, 387 nt
Filed under: uncultured bacterium
Lineage: Bacteria
Description: bacterial SSU rRNA
Rfam family: Bacterial small subunit ribosomal RNA
Source: RNAcentral
GACGAACGCUGGCGGCGUGCUUAACACAUGCAAGUCGAGCGGUAAGGCCCUUUCGGGGGUACACGAGCGGCGAACGGGUGAGUAACACGUGGGUGACCUGCCCUUAGCUCUGGGAUAAGCCUGGGAAACUGGGUCUAAUACCGGAUAUGACACCAUAGCGCAUGUUGUGGGGUGGAAAGCCUUGUGCGGCUAGGGAUGGGCCCGCGGCCUAUCAGCUUGUUGGUGGGGUGAUGGCCUACCAAGGCGACGACGGGUAGCCGGCCUGAGAGGGCGACCGGCCACACUGGGACUGAGACACGGCCCAGACUCCUACGGGAGGCAGCAGUGGGGAAUCUUGCGCAGUGGGCGAAAGCCUGACGCAGCGACGCCGCGUGGGGAUGACGGCCU